RNAcentral lists this ribosomal RNA (301 nucleotides) under uncultured bacterium. RNAcentral's name for it is "partial 16S ribosomal RNA". It matches the Rfam family "Bacterial small subunit ribosomal RNA", at positions 509 to 807 of the family's 1533-position model. The record is from RNAcentral.
CAGUCGCCGCGGUAAUACGUAGGGUGCGAGCGUUAAUCGGAAUUACUGGGCGUAAAGCGUGCGCAGGCGGUUGUGUAAGACAGGUGUGAAAUCCCCGGGCUUAACCUGGGAACUGCGCUUGUGACUGCACAGCUAGAGUAUGGCAGAGGGAGGUGGAAUUCCACGUGUAGCAGUGAAAUGCGUAGAGAUGUGGAGGAACACCGAUGGCGAAGGCAGCCCCCUGGGCCAAUACUGACGCUCAUGCACGAAAGCGUGGGGAGCAAACAGGAUUAGAUACCCCCGUAGUCCCUGUCUCUUAUAC